UAAACCAUGUCAUUUCCUGUUGACAGCAGGUGGCGCUAUGACUGUAACUGAAUAUUGGACUGUAGAUAGCCGCAGGUCCGGAUUCCUAUCAAAUAUGUGAAGUUUGGUGUAGAUUGAACAGUGUGUGAAUUAUAACAACUUCCUGUUUCGUGGCAUUAGCACUUAGCUAAGUGUUGCUAGCAUGGUGUAACAUGUUUCUAGCGUGUUGCUAGCAUAUUUACCUCUUGCUGGCAUAUUUUACAAUGUUGGUAGGAGUGCAUCACAGUGUAAAACGUCAUUUCCUGUUGCCAGCAGGUGGCGCUAUGACUAUAACUUAAUAUUGGCAUGUAGAUGUCUUCAGGCCAGGACUUUUAUCAAACGUGAAGUUUUGGGAAGAUUAGGCAUUGUACGCUUGAGUGAUAACUUCCUGUUUAAUAGCAUUAAUAGCACGCUUUAGCACUUAGCUAAGUGUUGCUAGCAUGUUUUAACAUGUUUAGAAUUUGCUGGCACAUUUUUAUAUGUUGCUAGGAAUACAUCAGUGUAAAACAUGUCACUUCUUGUUGGCAGCAGGUGGCACUAUGACUAUAACUGAAUAUUGGCAUGUAGGUAGCCUCAGGCCAGGUUUUCUAUUAAAAAUGUGAAGUUUGGAGCAGAUUGAACAUUGUAUAUUUGAUUUAUAAGAAGUUCGUUUUUCAUGGCGAAACAUCGAAAUUUGUGAGACCGCCACGACCACACGUAAAUUUUCACCGGUUCUGACAGGUCUGCGAAGUUAUGUGAGUUUUCGGGUAUGUUUGGGCCCUCUAAAAUGCAAUUAAUUUGAGGAAUGAAGAUGAAGAAUUAAAGCUGCAAGCGGCGGUAAACGGGCCCUCGCACCCACUUGCAUGUUGGGGCUGCUCUCACUCCAGCGUCUCACUAGCAAACACUUCCAGAACAAGGAGUAGAUGAGACAACCACCAGGACCACAACUUCUCUCAAGACUGAAUGUCGAGGAAGGUGAUCAGAAGCGACAACUCAACCAACUGAGCCACCAAGUCACUUGCACACUCCAUCCUCCUUCACACCAUUCAGAACCUGCACAAACAACCACAACACAACCACUACACCAAAGAUGGACAGAAGCAACCCCUGUGUGUUGGACUGUUAUUAUAAAUCACUUCAUGAGGAUGCAGCAAUUUUCACCCUUAAACCAGUCAAAAGGCAGACAAGAAACCACACCACUGGCAUGAACUCUAACUGCUACACCACAGAGGGACAGACCCCACAAGUGUGACUUUUGUUGUCAUAAAUGACUUCACAAGGACACAGAAAUUUUUAGUCUUAAACCAACGAAAAGGUAGAAAUGAACCCACACCUUCUGGCACCCCACCAGUGGCAGGAACACUAACUGCUACACCAGAGAGGGGUAGAAGCAAAAACACUACUGGAGUUUUGUCAUCAUAAACCACUUCAUGAGGACGCAGCAAUUUUUAGUCUUAAACCAGCCAUAACACAAGAGAGAACCCACACCUUAUGGAACCCCAUCACUGAUGCUGACACUAACCACUACACCACUAAGCAUGUAAGAAGCAUUAUAUGUUACUACC
This is a long non-coding RNA of Ictalurus punctatus (channel catfish), 1562 nucleotides long. Lineage: Eukaryota; Metazoa; Chordata; Actinopteri; Siluriformes; Ictaluridae. The record is from Ensembl.